CCGAGUGAUGAGGUGUUGCAGCAGUUAUGAAACAGCAGAGCAGAGGAGCCUGAGCAUGGGGCGCCAUCUCAAUGAAGCUGUCACUCAAUCAGCAGACAGGACAUAAUAAUUUAGCUGUUAAAAUAACAUCCCAUCUCAUCCAAUUCCUCCGCAUAGAAAGAGAUGCACAAAUCAAUAAGUCAGCGGAGAACAGAAUUUGACAUGUACUUUUAAUUCCGUCAUGUCCUCGUUUUGUUUGUGGUGGGCGAUGAGAAAAUGAUGAUGUUGGUUCAUUCUGGCGAGGACUCCAGUAAUUCAGUGGAGUUUACACAACUCACCUACUGCAGUAUCGAAAUAGAUGUCUUUUCACAGGAAAUUUGUGUGUAUGUGUGCAAGCCCUCAGGCUCAUACGCUUGCAGACUUGCUUAAAACAGGUCUUUUGUUUUUAUGUUAAAUGUCCUGGAAAAGGGAACAGGAAUUAGACAUGUCAAAAAAAAAAAAAGAGAGAACAAAUAAAUCUUUCUCUCUUUCAGGGAGUCCCCUUCCUCGGCCAAUGGUGCAGAAGCGAUGGUUUGUGGCAGUGAGAUUCAUGCUGACUCACAUGUGACUUGUCUACCAGCACCAGAUGUGCAUGAUGCUUGCUGUUUCCCUUCUCUGUUCUUCUGUAAGAGUCCUGCAAAUGCAAAAAAUCCCAACCAUCAUUCCUUGACACAUACAGAUAAGAAAGAAAACGCUGCUUCAGUUUUAAGCUUCAAGGUUUGUGCUGUUUGUGCAUUCUGUUUGUGUAAUUCUUCAAAACUUGUCAAUAACGGUUUUAACUGUUCAUUUACGCUGUAUGAGUGUUUCAAAUUCAUACUAAUAUUUUAAAUGGUUGCUUUGGGUGAAAAUUCCUUUUGUUGCAUGUCACUCUCGGUAAGCCUGAAAUUACAUUGUAUGUUCUAUUAUGUUGUUACCUGAAUAGAGUCGUUAGAACAGCGAGUUUUGUUGGCUUUUUAGUGUUUCUGUGUAUCCGAGUGUGUGCAUGUUGUUGCAGCGUUCACUAAAUUGAGUGUGUGUGGGGCAGACCACUCUCAAGAAGGUGAGGUCAUCGGCCAAGGCUAUACACGCCCGAUCCUCUUGUCUCAAAAUCCACACCUGUUUCUGACUGCCUUUGCAAAUUAUUACAGGAUCAAAGAAGAAUUAGUUGAAGCUCUCCUGUAUCUGUCAAAGACUUCUAACUUUGGGAUCAUGACUCAAGAAAAUGCCCAGAUUUAUCUCUGUGGUUUUUAUUUUCAGAGGUUACGUAUCGCUGUAACCUGGAGACCAGUAGAGUCAUGAAGAAUUAGAUUAUUAAUACAUCCGCUUGCACUUUAUAGCAGCUGCCAAAACAACAGGAAAGGACAUGGCCUCACGUUUUCAAUUGAUGAGCUGAUUAUAUUAAUAUCUCGACCUUUAAACCUCCGUGUCAAUCAAGCUCUGAAGUUUUUUUGAGAAGCUGGCCCUGUAUAAAUCUUAAUAUCUUUUUAUAAUCACACUCCAUUCUGUGAUUAAAAACCCUGGAGACCUUGAAGUAUGAAUCAUGCUGAGCGUGUGUGUUGUGGGGAGGUGGGUUGAGAGGAUGUUGAAUUAUGUCAUCCAUUCCAUUUCCAAUGACAUAAUGAAUUGUGCGUGUUAGAAAGUGAAUGGAUUAAUAGUAGUUUGCUAGUAUAGUCAGCACCCAGGAAUGCACUGUAAAGGAUUUCAAUUUAGCUUUCGUACUAAAAUAGCAUCAGGAUCAAUGACCACAUCAGCAUCAACAACAACAUUUACAUGCACAUCAUUUUUUUAAUGAAUACUUUUAUUCAGCAAAUUAAAUUGAUCAAAAUUAACAGUAAAGACUGACAAUGUUUCAAAACAUUCUUAACGUAAAUUAUUCUUUCUAUCCAUCAAAAAAAAAUGGAUCAUGAUUUCUGCAGCACAACAGUUUUCAACUGAUAAAAAUAAAUGUUUGUUGAGCACUAAAUCAGCUUAUCAGAAUGAUUUCUGAAGGACCAUGUAACACUGAAGUAUAUAUACUGUCUAAAACUUGGUAUUACAAGCACUUCCUGUGUCUGUUUGCCUCUUUAAGAAGAAUCGCUUUAUGUAUCCCCCAAUUGUAAUUCGUUUUGGAUAAAAGCAUCUGCAAAAUGACUAAAUGUGAAUACAGUGUACAUUCUAGUGAAGCCUUUAAAAAAGUCUAUUGGAAUAUUGCUCUAUAUACUCAGAACCAUUCAAAUACUAAGCCAUGACAUGUUCACUCUUUGCAUGCUCUUCAGGAAAUAAUAAGGAUGCUAACCAUUAUUAUGCUGUAUUUCAAACUUGCUAAUUCUCAUUUAUUUACUUAACACAGAAGAAUGCAAUGAAAUACAAUCACAACAUGGUUGGUAAUUAACAGGGGUUCGGGGGGGGUUAAUGAUUCAGUUGAAUGUAUGAUUCAAAGACUCAUUUAGCUUAUUAGGACAGUGACUUGCACCCCACCCACCCCAUCAUUUAAUUUCAUUUCCCAACAUUUUAUAUUUAAAACUCAUAGUAUUAUUUAUACAGUUGUAAUGCAGUGUAAAUGCAUUUAUGUAACUUCUGAGUUGCAUUAAACAGUGUAAAUAUCUUAAGUACCAAGUCAAAUGCAGCUUCUGCAGUGCAAAGAUCAUUGGAAUGGUAACAGACCUGUAGUUUAUUAUUUUUGUUGAAUUGAUUUAUUGAAUGUAUGAAUUUGAAAUAAAAAAAUGAACAUUAAAGAUAGAAAAUGUGUAAAGUAAAAAAAAAAUGUUCCUAUAAAUCAGUUUAAGGAAGAAAAUUUCAGCUCUUAAUUUCAAGUCCCUAAACAACUUGGCCCCAUCUUAUCUAUCUGCGCUUCUAUCUCCACAUUACCCUUCUCGAGCUCUUCGGUCCGGUAGUCACAGAUUGCUCACAAUGUUCCCAGAGCCAGACUUAAACAAAGAGGUGAACGUGCUGUUGCGGGUCCUAAACUCUGGAACAGGUUACCAGCUCAUGUUAGAUUUGCUCCUACAAUACAGAUUUUUAAAUAUUUGCUUAAAACUCAUUAUUUUUCCAUUGCUUUUAAUGUCCCUUGAUGUUUAAUUUUUAAAUUUGACUUCUGUUGUUCUGAUUUUCUUUUGAGAUCCUGCUGCUAAUUUUUCUCUGACUUUUUUGUGAUAUUUUAAAAUUGUUUUGCUUGUAUUUAUUUUAUCUGAUGCUGUAAAGCACAUUGGUCAGCUGCCGCUGUUUUAAUGGUACUAUAUGAGUAAAUUAAACUUGAACUUGAAACUUAAUGGAAAGGUUCAUUUCAGUCACAGUAGCUUAUAAAAUAAAAAAUAUAUAUAUUUCUUAACCAACAAUGUAUUUCUUUAGUAUUUUGACUUCUCACAACACUGUUUAAUACUACCCACAAUUACCUUUGUUUACAGUUUUUUUUUAAUUUCUAACAAGCGUUUACCAAUACUUAAAGUACUUUUUCUAAACUCUUAACACAGCAACACACCUACAUCAUGCAAUUAGCCAAAUAGUUAAUUUUCUGGUCAAAACCACAUUUUGUUAAAUAAAUACAAACUCUACAUUUCAAAAUGCUGAAUACCUUUUUCUACAUAUACUAACUCUAUAAAAACACAGCAAACUCAAUUCAAAAUCGAGUCAUUCGGACAAAACAUUAGCACUACCUUUCUAUCCAAUAGGAACAUAAAAUCAAUCAUAGCACAGUGACUGUCAAAAUACAGAUGGCUUUACAAAAACUGCAUUACUUUCUUGUACAUGUUUGACGUACAUGUUUCAGUUCUACCUGCAUAUAGACAAUAUAAAAAUCCAUUGUUUUUUGUAAUUUGGUUACCUUCAACUGAAACCCAUUUUACAUUUUUAAGUGUUGAAUGUGUUCACUCUUGGCAACAUACUAUCUAAAACUGAAUGAGUCAUCACUGUAUAGAAUGUACAAUAGAAAAAAAUAGGGUCCUCUAUGCAGAAAUUAAUUUGGAACCUUGAUUGAAAUUGCUCUCCAGUGGGUGGUGGUUGGAUGUGGAUGGUAGCUGAUGCCAGUGAUCAACAAAAAUUACAACAUACAUGGCCUUUGGUAACUAUGCAAACGUGUUUCCGUCACAGGUUAAAAAAGUAAAAAACGGUAAUUGUGAACUUUUUAUCUCACAAUUUGGACUUCUAUUUUUGGAAUUGCGAGUUUACAUCUUGCAAUUCAGACUUUAUCAGAAUUGUGAGAUAAAUUCACAGUUGCAAAAAAUAAAAGUCAGAACUGUGAGAUGAAACAAAGACACAAUAACCCUUUACCCUUUAUAUUCCAUGGCAGAAAUAAGCUUUCAUAGGUUCCACAUGUGUAAGAGGGAAAAACAAACAAACAUAAAAAUGCACAGUCCAGCACACAUUCUUACCCCCUCCCUCACCUCUUAUUCUCCCUUACCUAUCUUCUUCUGAUCUAACUACUCCUCUCCCUCUCCCAGGAAUUAUUUUUUCUCUCUCUGAUUCUUUGUGUUUUGCAUCCACAAACCAAUUCAAAGAGGUCUUUUUUCCUCUAUGUUGAUGUAAUGGAAAGAGCAUCAACACCUGACUAUUCCUCCAACUGAGACUGGAAUCAGCUAUUUCUAAAUAUUUUGGUGAUCUGUUACUUAAAAAUGCUUAUCAGUUGUUACAAUAUUUUAUAUAGAGAUAUUUUUCAAUACUUUUGAGUUGCUGUUGUUGCAGAAGUAAAGGCUUUACACUAUAUUUAAAGUUUGGAACAUUAGGUCUUCAUUUCAGUCAUGCUGUGAAAAAAAAGAUAAGAAAGAUAUAUGAUUUUGGUAUGGGGUAAGCUUAUGUGAAAAGAAAAUUUAAGCAUUUUAGAAACGUAAAGGUUAAAGGUAUGGUCACAACACACUGAUGUUGUGCUAAUCGUGUAUAGUGUUUUGAAAAUGUGACUACAGAUUGGACAAAAGGAUGUUAGCAAUUGAAAAAAACUGUAAACGUGCAAAUAUAAAUAACUGUUUAGGUUGAUGUUUUGAAUAAGAUGUUUAUACAUGACCAAAAAUCCACUGUAAUACAGAUACAGUAUAUGCCAGCUCUGCCAACAAAAUAUAUGCAGUGCAAUUAAUGGGCAUGCAUAAUUUUCUAUUUAAUAGUGAUCCAAAAAAUCCAUUUGAUCAUUGAAAUGUGUGGAUAUUUCAAAACAUUAAACAUUUACACUUGUUGUUUAUAUUAUUUGCCAUGCAGUGUGCAUAUAGACAUAUGAAUUAUACAGAUAUUGUGCAUGGAUUUACAGACCAAAAGCUGGUUAUUUUGAGAUGAUUUGGCCCUAUCGUGAAUGACAAAGACCAGAGCAUGAGAGAUGAAAUCACAUGCAAAAGGUUAUAAAGUUUGGCAACAUCAAAAGAAAUGGGAUGGGAAAGGGAACAACAGCAAG
Molecule: long non-coding RNA, 5347 nt
Organism: Cyprinus carpio carpio
Lineage: Eukaryota; Metazoa; Chordata; Actinopteri; Cypriniformes; Cyprinidae
Source: Ensembl